UCGGGAAUGAUUAAAGUGGCAAACGGGUGAGUAAUAUAUAGGAAUCUACCUUGUAGUGAGGAAUAAGCGUGGGAAACUGCGUCUAAUACCACAUAAUACCGAAUCGGGAAAGGAGCAAUCCGCUAUAAGAUGAGCCUAUAUCAGAUUAGCUUGUUGGUAGGGUAAAGGCCUACCAAGGCGAUGAUCUGUAGCUGGUCUAAGAGGGUGAUCAGCCACACUGGGACUGAGACACGGCCCAGACUCC
Molecule: ribosomal RNA, 244 nt
Filed under: uncultured bacterium
Lineage: Bacteria
Description: partial 16S ribosomal RNA
Rfam family: Bacterial small subunit ribosomal RNA
Source: RNAcentral